Molecule: ribosomal RNA, 424 nt
Filed under: uncultured prokaryote
Description: bacterial SSU rRNA
Rfam family: Bacterial small subunit ribosomal RNA
Source: RNAcentral
UGGGGAAUCUUGGACAAUGGGGGCAACCCUGAUCCAGCCAUGCCGCGUGAGUGAUGAAGGCCUUAGGGUCGUAAAGCUCUUUCGCCUGUGAAGAUAAUGACGGUAGCAGGUAAAGAAACCCCGGCUAACUCCGUGCCAGCAGCCGCGGUAAUACGGAGGGGGUUAGCGUUGUUCGGAAUUACUGGGCGUAAAGGGCGCGUAGGCGGUCUGUUGCGUCAGGUGUGAAAGCCCCGGGCUCAACCUGGGAGGUGCACUUGAUACGGGCAGGCUAGAAUCCGGGAGAGGAUGGUUGAAUUCCCAGUGUAGAGGUGAAAUUCGUAGAUAUUGGGAAGAACACCGAUGGCGAAGGCAGCCAUCUGGACCGGUAUUGACGCUGAGGCGCGAAAGCGUGGGGAGCAAACAGGAUUAGAUACCCCCGUAGUCC